UUUUGUCACAGUACGUAUAAUUUUUAAAGUAACCCCAAAACCACAUAGUUAGCAUGUGAUAGCUCUGAAUCCAUGUGUCUGCCUUGCAGUGGAAGUUAAAGAUGCAUUAAAUCCUCACCUUAUUAACCAUAAAGCAAACUGGAUAACAGCCACAGCAGCCUUAGCUAUGGUUAGCCUGUGUUCCCAGGGAUGUCGGGGUGUUCCUGAUGGGGCAGAAGGAAGAGCUCCAGUCCCUCUGUGAGGCCCCUCAAGCUCUGAGUGAAAACAACAGCCCCUCCCACAUAAGCAUAUUUGUUCAGGUGAUGUUCCAGGGAAGAGCUGCAGAACUACUUUCAUUUGCUGGCUCAGAAGAGCCUGUGUCUCUUUAAGACCUCCAGAUCCCUUGGAAGUUUGCCUUCCUUGCUUUGCCUGCAUCUCUGUGGAACUGAUGCAAUACAAAUCCAGAGCCCUGGGACACACAGGCCCCUCCUGCCGUUCUCUUCCACGCCGUGUUUUGUGCACAGACACAGAGGAAUGAGGGCAGAUCAGGCUGGAAAGGUCCCUGUGCUGAAGGUCCAGUUCCACAACACUGUGCAGUUACAGAUCUUGCUGAGCACCCUGGACCCCCUGGACUUUGGAAGAGCCAGCCUGAGGACGCUCUGAACCCAGCUGUGAGGGAUUCCAUGGCAAGCAUCCACAGAGGGCAAAGGAGCUUGGAAAUGCUGGAUGGUUUCAAGAACAGCUUCCUGAAAGCACAGCAGUGCUCCAUCCCUUCACAGGAUCAGGAAGAGGGCAGAACCAGAGACCAUCUGGGCUUAACAGAGAGCUUUGGGUGUGCCUAAGAGCAAAUGAAGCAGCAGCACGGUGCCCAAGAUUCAGAAGUGCAACCGUGCCAGUGCCCGGAGCCCUGUCAGACAGUGCUGGGAUCUUGGGUGUGGUUCUGGUCCCCACAGCUGAGGAAUGGCAGCCCCAGCCUCAGACCCAGUCAGAAAUCUAAGCAAGUGAGACCAGAGGGAGGGCACCCUUCCAGUUUCUCUGGGGCAUGGCCGCCAAAUAACCCCUGCUGCUUCUUCCUCCGCCUGUGUUUGGGGUGUGAUGCUGGCAGAGCCAGCUAGGUUGUGCUCUGUGUUCCAAAGCCUGUUGGGUGCAGGCAUGAAAAGCACUGUGUGCACAGUGGAGAGUCCUGGAAGGUGCUGGCAAGAGCAUCCUGCAGGGACAGGGCUCUGGUGUCUGGCUGGAAAAGCCUGGUUUUGCUGCUGUGACCACAGGCAGGAGUUGAGGCAGCUGAAGAGGCAGUGAGCAGCCUGUGUUUGUAGAGGGCCUGGGGCUGCACGCCUGAACCUCCACCUGGAAACUCACUUGGGGAAUACGAGCUAGAGCUGGAGUGCCUGUCCUGAAAGAUCCUGAAGUCAUUCAGCCUUGCCAGCUUUUCUAAAGGUGUUCCCCAGGAAAGCUACACAUUUGGGGAAAUGCCUUUGGAGGAAAGGGGCUUGCUUCUCAAGGAAAGUGCUUCCCAGGGAGCUCCCAGUGAGGUAGGUAAAAGUGUCCCUUUUGGCUCUCUGUGCUCCUUUCAGUCCUUGAGGCCUGUUGCACUUGGCAGAGGGGCAGGGCAGUGAAUAGCGGGUUUGGCAUCUGCCUGGACCUGUGGAGACCAAGCCAAGCACCUGCAGCAGGGUGUCUUCCCCCACUUUGGACAGAGGUGUGAGCAGGAGAAUCUCUGUCCAGCCACAAGCUCCAAAACUCUCUGAGAUCUGUGAAUUAAAAGUCUUUAUGCACACACUUUUCACAUCUUCCCUGUCUGCUGUGUUUCAACUCUUGGCAAGAUGCAGUUGCCUCUUGCUUGGUGGAAGCUGCUGUG
Passer domesticus (house sparrow) is the source of this 1837-nucleotide long non-coding RNA. RefSeq lists it as uncharacterized. The record is from RefSeq and is a predicted model, not a curated record. The transcript is spliced from 3 exons. Lineage: Eukaryota; Metazoa; Chordata; Aves; Passeriformes; Passeridae.